UUUAACUGAAGAGUUUGAUCAUGGCUCAGAUUGAACGCUGGCGGCAGGCUUAACACAUGCAAGUCGAGCGGUAACAGGGGAGCUUGCUCCUGCUGACGAGCGGCGGACGGGUGAGUAACGCGUAGGAAUCUACCUAGUAGAGGGGGACAACAUGUGGAAACGCAUGCUAAUACCGCAUACGCCCUAAGGGGGAAAGGAGGGGACUUUUCGGAGCCUUCCG
RNAcentral lists this ribosomal RNA (220 nucleotides) under Marinomonas sp. UCMA 3892. RNAcentral describes it as "partial 16S ribosomal RNA". It matches the Rfam family "Bacterial small subunit ribosomal RNA", at positions 1 to 217 of the family's 1533-position model. Lineage: Bacteria; Pseudomonadati; Pseudomonadota; Gammaproteobacteria; Oceanospirillales; Oceanospirillaceae. The record is from RNAcentral.